Long non-coding RNA from Anas platyrhynchos (mallard), 2058 nucleotides. RefSeq lists it as uncharacterized. NCBI's taxonomy places the organism in Eukaryota, Metazoa, Chordata, Aves, Anseriformes, Anatidae. The record is from RefSeq and is a predicted model, not a curated record.
UUUUCUUUACUCUUUCUUUGCUGUUGUGAAUUCAAGCUGUAUCUUCCAGAAGUGUGCCCAAAGUUAGUUUUCACACCAUGGAGGCUGAAGCAUCUUGGUUCUCUAGCUUGUGUAUCUGUAUGCAUCUGUACUUCCUAAGGCCUGACGUCAUUGGAGCUAGAAUGAUUAAACCUUUUCAGAGCCUGAAAAGGCUCCUCAUUAUGAAUAGUUUAGGGAGAGUUAGUUCAUCUUUCAUCAAUCUGUAACUUGACACAUGUAAACAUGUAGGAAGAGCAGAGCUUGCUGGCACAGGCUGUGCCCUUCCACACACUGCAUGGACAAUAUAAGGACAAAGAAGCCAUAUAACAAAAAUCCUAACCGUAAUAAUUAAGAUUAGUAAAUCAACUAUGCAAAGGAACAUAAAGUUCAAGAGCCUUAGAGACACUGGUAAAUAUUUCCCCACCCACCCCAUCUUGCUUAUUACUGAAAAUCCAUGAGAACUGUCUGACUGGAAUGCUUUGGUUUGAAGCCUGAUUGAAUCUUGGACAAAAUGCUGCACAAAAAGCACUUUCUUCCAGCAACCUACCAAUCAUGCUAACAGUUGUUGAUUUCAGAUUUAUCACUCCUCUUAAGAAGUGAAAAUCUCAAUCGUUAGAGCUUCCAACACUAGCAAAAUCUGCCAGAGGUCUUCCUGUUUUAUUGACAUCAAUUUUUGCACAAGCAAUGGGUUCAUUUCACCAGAUUGCCACAAUACAUCUGUUUUGGACAAUUGUGUGAUGCUGUAAGUCCCCUUGGUCACUGCUGAGUUAACAAUUCAAUAGAGGAAUCCUCUCUAAUGCUGAAAAUCACAUUGACUCAUUGACUCUGAGAGAUAGCUAAGUUAAAAAAAAAAAAAAAAAAAAAAAAAAAAGAACAGGAGGACGUGAACAUCACCUGCAAAUGUUUGCUGAGCAAAGCAAUCUAUCUCCACUGUGUUACUACUUCCACAUUUAAGAUCAGUGAGACACGAUGGAGCCCAGGAGAGGAAUGAACUUCUCUCUCCAACAUGUGGUAAAAUCAGCCUGCAAUUCACAGUAUAUAAUGGGAGGAGACAGAGCUAAUUCCAACCUUUGAGCACAUACAUACAGGGGGCCCAACCAAGGCAUUUCUCUUUUACAUAUGAGUUUGAUCCUACCUCACACACCUCCUGUGUGUAGGACUGCCAGAAAUGAGAAAGAUUUUGUCCCUUCUUACACCCUUAUCAAGAAACAGGUAGUGAUAAUUAGAUUUCAAGUUUUACCAGUAACUCAUCUGACUACUGGACCUUUCCCUACAGAAAUGGGCUCUGUACUUAAAAGAGAAAUGAAACUAAAAGAAAAUCUCCCAUGUUUUCUAAUCAUUUACAGCAACUGAAAAUUGAAGAUCAUUAUAAACAUCAGGCUUGGCAGCAUACUAAAAACUCUUUCCCCUUCUAAUAUAGCUGAUGCUGGAGGGCUGAUCCAUUGGCUUCUAUUUUGGGAGGUGAAAGAAGGUAGUCACUAGAGCGCUAUUAAAAACAGAGUUUCUUCAAGACAUUUGCAUCACUUAAAUGGGUCAUAAACAAAGGCAGAAGCAGUAUUUACUGUGCUAUUAAGGUAAACAAAAAUAGAAACCCACAGGUAAUUAUGAAAGAGAUUGAGUCUGGCAGGUGGGUUCCAGCAGUCUGGUUUUGAUUUCCAAACGAGGGAUUAGAGCCAAGCUAUAGACCUGCCAUAAUAAAUUAACUAUAUUCCCAUACUUACAUGGCUUGUUUCUUUUCACUUCUACUUUCAUUUUACAUUAGCAGCAUUUGGUGCUCUGAUCUAGAAACAAGCCUUCUCGUUUCUUAAUCACCUCUGAGCCUGAAGUUGUUUUUAUGGUGGAACUACAACCACUGCACAGCGACCAGCAUGGGGCCAUCCUGCCAGGCCAUACCUGUGCAGCACUGACCACAGGACCUGGCAUCCAUAUGCCGCUCACAAGAAAUGGAGAAGCGUCGCUUACAUUUUUAAGAGGAAAUGGCUUGUCAGUGAAAUAAUGAGUCCCGUGAGCAGAAACUACAGGGGAAAAAAAAAAAAAAAA